This 497-nucleotide ribosomal RNA is filed under the name uncultured bacterium. Its description in RNAcentral is "partial 16S ribosomal RNA". It matches the Rfam family "Bacterial small subunit ribosomal RNA", at positions 28 to 507 of the family's 1533-position model. The record is from RNAcentral.
GAUGAACGCUGGCGGCGUGCCUAAUACAUGCAAGUCGAGCGAACAGACGAGGAGCUUGCUCCUCUGACGUUAGCGGCGGAAGGGUGAGUAACACGUGGAUAACCUACCUAUAAGACUGGGAUAACUUCGGGAAACCGGAGCUAAUACCGGAUAAUAUAUUGAACCGCAUGGUUCAAUAGUGAAAGACGGUUUUGCUGUCACUUAUAGAUGGAUCCGCGCCGCAUUAGCUAGUUGGUAAGGUAACGGCUUACCAAGGCAACGAUGCGUAGCCGACCUGAGAGGGUGAUCGGCCACACUGGAACUGAGACACGGUCCAGACUCCUACGGGAGGCAGCAGUAGGGAAUCUUCCGCAAUGGGCGAAAGCCUGACGGAGCAACGCCGCGUGAAUGAUGAAGGUCCUCGGAUCGUAAAACUCUGUUAUUAGGGAAGAACAAAUGUGUAAGUAACUAUGCACGUCUUGACGGUACCUAAUCAGAAAGCCACGGCUAACUACGUG